This is a non-coding RNA of Astyanax mexicanus (Mexican tetra), 1565 nucleotides long. Lineage: Eukaryota; Metazoa; Chordata; Actinopteri; Characiformes; Acestrorhamphidae. The record is from the annotation of a RefSeq genome assembly.
ACUCACACACACACACACUCACACUCACACACACACUCACACUCACACACACACUCACACACACACACACUCACACUCACACACACACUCACACACACACACACACUCACUCACACACACACAAUCUCACACACACACACACACACACACACACACUCAGUCCUCUGGAUGUGUAUCAGAUGUAUCCAGUCAGAAUCUGGGUGUAUAAAAUGGUGUGAGUGUUAUAUUGUUCUGUAAUAUUUAGAGUGUUUUCUUUGUUGUGUUUUAGGUUCAGGAGGGGUUCUAGAUAUUUCCAUAGAGAGGUUCCACUUUGCAUUAUCAGCCCAUGCUUCAGUGCUCUGCUAGUGUUUAUAGUCCUGUGAGUUUAACACUUCAUGACUGAGAGCUGCUGCCCAGCAACUUCACCCACAGCAACCAUGACUUUCUUCUCCAUCUUCAUCUGGACUCUCACUCUCUGGAUUCAGGGAUCCAGUGCUCAGGUCACUGUGACUCAAAGUCCAUCAGAAACAACAACUACUUCUGGAACAACAGUUACCAUCAGAUGUAGAACCAACCGUGCAGUCUAUAGCUGGAAUGGGAUGGAUUAUCAAGCCUGGUACCAGCACAAACCCGGAGAAGCUCCUAAACUCCUGAUCUUUGAUGGCAACAGGAAACCAUCAGGUGCUCCAGAUCGUUUCAGUGGUAGUGGAUCUGGAUCUGACUUCACUCUGAUCAUCAGUAACAUCCAGCCUGAAGAUGCAGCAGAUUAUCAUUGUCAUUGUGUUCAUCAGAUGAAUAGCCUGGGUCCGUACACACAGUGUAACAGAGCUGUACAAAAACCCCCUCACUCACACACUGCACCGCUGCAGCUGCACCUACUGCAGGCAGGGGGCGCCACAACCCACCUCAGACCCUUCCAGCAGAAUCCUGUGAGUGUGGAACUUUCUGGACUCAUUAAACUGUUCAUCUUCUACUAUUUUUAUUAUUCAUAAUGAACACAGAACCGGUGUUUUUCUCUCAGAUCCAGGAGUGUUUGGUGUUACAGGUUGUGUGAUUGGUUCAUUAUCUCAGGUGACUACUUUUUUUUUAUUUUAUCACCUUCAUGGCCGAGAAAACUGCAGGUGAAAUUCUGUGACUCUACAAAAGCCCUACUAAAAAGAGAAUAUAUGCACAUUUAGUACAGCACAACUAAUUCUAAUCAAUAAAUAAAUAUAAUGUUUUAAAAGAAACCCAGAAAUAAUACCCCACUCCCUAUAAUAUACUGUAAUAACUAAUAAGUUCACUUACUCAACUCAAAAUUUUGUUGUAAACGAUUACCUAAGAAAAUUUAAGUUCAUGUAAUAUAUGUUUAAGUGCAGUUAACUUUGUAAUAAAUAAUAUAUAUAUAUACAUUAAACUUAUAUAUUUUAUUUACAAAUGUAUUUUUCUGAAGUUCUAUAUACUACAUUAGUUUUAGUAAAAAUUACUUAACUAAUAUAGUUUCCACCAACCUAACCAGUACAUUAAAUAUAUGAUAGUAAAUUAUUUCUCUUUUUUUAUUAUUUCAAUUGCUUUGCAUAGUAAUGGUACUUUGAAUGCGAUGGUCA